GGGGCCGUAGCUCAGCUGGGAGAGCGCCUGCUUUGCAAGCAGGAGGUCGUCGGUUCGAGCCCGAUCGGCUCCACCA
This 76-nucleotide transfer RNA is filed under the name Dehalococcoidia bacterium. RNAcentral describes it as "tRNA-Ala". It matches the Rfam family "tRNA". From Rfam's summary of the family: Transfer RNA (tRNA) molecules are approximately 80 nucleotides in length. Lineage: Bacteria; Bacillati; Chloroflexota; Dehalococcoidia. The record is from RNAcentral.